Cyprinus carpio (common carp) is the source of this 1086-nucleotide long non-coding RNA. RefSeq lists it as uncharacterized. The transcript is spliced from 4 exons. Lineage: Eukaryota; Metazoa; Chordata; Actinopteri; Cypriniformes; Cyprinidae. The record is from RefSeq and is a predicted model, not a curated record.
CUACGAUUGUUUUGUACGCUGUUAUGGAUUAUAAGAGAACUAACAAACUGCCUUCACUGCACAGACUUUGAACUGUACAACAAACUUUCAUGGAAAGUUGUACUUCUUCAGCUCUAAUGUACUGAACUGGUCAAGCAGUCGUGCUUUCUGUGUUUCAAAAGGAGCAGAUCUGGUCACCAUAACCAGCCAGACAGAACAAGAUUUUCUGGCUUCUGAAAUUGAAGAACAGCACUGGAUUGGUCUCACUGAUCUGAAAACUGAGGGACACUGGGUCUGGGUGAAUAACCAAACUCUUACUGAUACUGGAGUACAGUCAUGGUACAAGAGAGCAUCUGGGCAAAGUGAACCUGAUAACUGGAGAGGAACGGACCCCUCUGGAGAACACUGUGCUGUUGUGAGAUAUUUUGAAGGCCAUGUACACUGGUUUGAUGUUUCUUGCAAACUUCAAAAGAAGUUUAUUUGUGAGAAGAAAUAUUAAUUUUCAUCAGUGAGGCGUUAUGAAAGAGGAUUAUAUUAUAUAUGCACAGGUGUCUGGAUAGGAUCCUCUUUUGGAUAGCUUUUUUGUGUUUGUGUUCUGUCUGGUUUUCUUAAAUCUAGAAGCUAUAAACUGUGGCGAAACCAUAAAACUAUAACAGCUCUUCAAAAACAGCUAUUUAUAUAAACAUCCCACUAAUAUUCUAUCCCACUGUAAUCAUUUUAAUUCUCUCAAGAGCAGGGGUGUAAAGCACCUAUUAUUCAGCAGUCCCGGUUUAUUUGGUUAUAGUCAAUACAUAGUCAAUAAAUGGAGCCAAUACAGCCGAUAAAUGAAGAUUCUGACUGACCUGCAAUGGCUUUAGCUAAACUAAGGCCAUUAUUCUUGUUAAUUGUUGUAGGGGUUUUCUAAUUAAAUAAAUCAAAUGGUGGAACAGACUUCUUGCAACAUGUGUCUAUUUGAUUGUUCAGAUCAAAAUGUAAACAAUGUUACAUUUAUAUUUAAUAAAUGAAAUGCAUGUCCAUCUCAAAAUAGCCCAUUUUUAACACAUUUUGUAUUUAUAAUCAUUGAUCAAUUGAACUUUAAAUUGUAUUCUGUAUUAUUUCCGAGGUCAA